RNAcentral lists this transfer RNA (79 nucleotides) under Acinetobacter nosocomialis. RNAcentral's name for it is "tRNA-Gly". It matches the Rfam family "tRNA". From Rfam's summary of the family: Transfer RNA (tRNA) molecules are approximately 80 nucleotides in length. Their secondary structure includes four short double-helical elements and three loops (D, anti-codon, and T loops). Further hydrogen bonds mediate the characteristic L-shaped molecular structure. tRNAs have two regions of fundamental functional importance: the anti-codon, which is responsible for specific mRNA codon recognition, and the 3' end, to which the tRNAs corresponding amino acid is attached (by aminoacyl-tRNA synthetases). tRNAs cope with the degeneracy of the genetic code in two manners: having more than one tRNA (with a specific anti-codon) for a particular amino acid; and 'wobble' base-pairing, i.e. permitting non-standard base-pairing at the 3rd anti-codon position. Lineage: Bacteria; Pseudomonadati; Pseudomonadota; Gammaproteobacteria; Moraxellales; Moraxellaceae. The record is from RNAcentral.
GCGGGAAUAGCUCAGUUGGUAGAGCAUAACCUUGCCAAGGNNGUUGGGGUCGCGAGUUCGAGUCUCGUUUCCCGCUCCA